Molecule: ribosomal RNA, 506 nt
Filed under: uncultured bacterium
Lineage: Bacteria
Description: partial 16S ribosomal RNA
Rfam family: Bacterial small subunit ribosomal RNA
Source: RNAcentral
AGUGAACGCUGGCGGUAGGCCUAACACAUACAAGUCGAACGGCAGCACAGGAGAGCUUGCUCUCUGGGUGGCGAGUGGCGGACGGGUGAGGAAUACAUCGGAAUCUACUCUGUCGUGGGGGAUAACGUAGGGAAACUUACGCUAAUACCGCAUACGACCUACGGGUGAAAGCAGGGGACCUUCGGGCCUUGCGCGAUUGAAUGAGCCGAUGUCGGAUUAGCUAGUUGGCGGGGUAAAGGCCCACCAAGGCGACGAUCCGUAGCGGGUCUGAGAGGAUGGUCAGCCACACUGGAACUGAGACACGGUCCAGACUCCUACGGGAGGCAGCAGUGGGGAAUAUUGGACAAUGGGCGCAAGCCUGAUCCAGCCAUACCGCGUGGGUGAAGAAGGCCUUCGGGUUGUAAAGCCCUUUUGUUGGGAAAGAAAUCCAGCUGGCUAAUACCCGGUUGGGAUGACGGUACCCAAAGAAUAAGCACCGGCUAACUUCGUGCCAGCCGCCGCCGUAA